AACCAUUUUCAAUCUACUAAGUAUCAAAUCAAAACCACAUUUAAAACAUAAAAAUCACUUUUAAAGUCCCUAGACUCAACCAUAUUCAAUUGCCUAAGUCACCGGCCAAACCACAUUCAAAACAAAAAAAUCUACUUUAAAGUUCCUAAACUUAACCAUUUUCAAGAUACUGAGUCACCUACCAAACCACAUUCAAAAUAAAAAAUUCACUUGUUAAGUUCCUACACUCAACCAUUUUCAACCAACUAAGUAUCAAAACAAAACCACAU
Molecule: long non-coding RNA, 269 nt
Filed under: Capsicum annuum
Lineage: Eukaryota; Viridiplantae; Streptophyta; Magnoliopsida; Solanales; Solanaceae
Description: long non-coding RNA (CANN_LNC013675)
Source: RNAcentral